This 1838-nucleotide ribosomal RNA is filed under the name Salmonella enterica. Its description in RNAcentral is "partial 23S ribosomal RNA". It matches the Rfam family "Bacterial large subunit ribosomal RNA", at positions 1192 to 2925 of the family's 2925-position model. Lineage: Bacteria; Pseudomonadati; Pseudomonadota; Gammaproteobacteria; Enterobacterales; Enterobacteriaceae. The record is from RNAcentral.
CACCGAAGCUGCGGCAGCGAACGUAUCACUUAAAGCGAUUCAGCGGGUUACGAUUGACGGAGCGAAGCGACGUCAAAGCGUAUACAAAGUCGAGUCGGUUUAAGGAUACGUUCGUUGGGUAGGGGAGCGUUCUGUAAGCCUGUGAAGGUGUGUCGUGAGGCAUGCUGGAGGUAUCAGAAGUGCGAAUGCUGACAUAAGUAACGAUAAAGCGGGUGAAAAGCCCGCUCGCCGGAAGACCAAGGGUUCCUGUCCAACGUUAAUCGGGGCAGGGUGAGUCGACCCCUAAGGCGAGGCCGAAAGGCGUAGUCGAUGGGAAACGGGUUAAUAUUCCCGUACUUGGUGUUACUGCGAAGGGGGGACGGAGAAGGCUAUGUUGGCCGGGCGACGGUUGUCCCGGUUUAAGCGUGUAGGUGUGUGUUCCAGGUAAAUCCGGUUCACUUUAACACUGAGGCGUGACGACGAGGCACUACGGUGCUGAAGCAACAAAUGCCCUGCUUCCAGGAAAAGCCUCUAAGCAUCAGGUAACAUCAAAUCGUACCCCAAACCGACACAGGUGGUCAGGUAGAGAAUACCAAGGCGCUUGAGAGAACUCGGGUGAAGGAACUAGGCAAAAUGGUGCCGUAACUUCGGGAGAAGGCACGCUGACACGUAGGUGAAGUGAUUUACUCAUGGAGCUGAAGUCAGUCGAAGAUACCAGCUGGCUGCAACUGUUUAUUAAAAACACAGCACUGUGCAAACACGAAAGUGGACGUAUACGGUGUGACGCCUGCCCGGUGCCGGAAGGUUAAUUGAUGGGGUCAGCGCAAGCGAAGCUCCUGAUCGAAGCCCCGGUAAACGGCGGCCGUAACUAUAACGGUCCUAAGGUAGCGAAAUUCCUUGUCGGGUAAGUUCCGACCUGCACGAAUGGCGUAAUGAUGGCCAGGCUGUCUCCACCCGAGACUCAGUGAAAUUGAACUCGCUGUGAAGAUGCAGUGUACCCGCGGCAAGACGGAAAGACCCCGUGAACCUUUACUAUAGCUUGACACUGAACAUUGAGCCUUGAUGUGUAGGAUAGGUGGGAGGCUUUGAAGUGUGGACGCCAGUCUGCAUGGAGCCGACCUUGAAAUACCACCCUUUAAUGUUUGAUGUUCUAACGUGGACCCGUGAUCCGGGUUGCGGACAGUGUCUGGUGGGUAGUUUGACUGGGGCGGUCUCCUCCUAAAGAGUAACGGAGGAGCACGAAGGUUGGCUAAUCCUGGUCGGACAUCAGGAGGUUAGUGCAAUGGCAUAAGCCAGCUUGACUGCGAGCGUGACGGCGCGAGCAGGUGCGAAAGCAGGUCAUAGUGAUCCGGUGGUUCUGAAUGGAAGGGCCAUCGCUCAACGGAUAAAAGGUACUCCGGGGAUAACAGGCUGAUACCGCCCAAGAGUUCAUAUCGACGGCGGUGUUUGGCACCUCGAUGUCGGCUCAUCACAUCCUGGGGCUGAAGUAGGUCCCAAGGGUAUGGCUGUUCGCCAUUUAAAGUGGUACGCGAGCUGGGUUUAGAACGUCGUGAGACAGUUCGGUCCCUAUCUGCCGUGGGCGCUGGAGAACUGAGGGGGGCUGCUCCUAGUACGAGAGGACCGGAGUGGACGCAUCACUGGUGUUCGGGUUGUCAUGCCAAUGGCACUGCCCGGUAGCUAAAUGCGGAAGAGAUAAGUGCUGAAAGCAUCUAAGCACGAAACUUGCCCCGAGAUGAGUUCUCCCUGAGACUUAAAGUCUCCUGAAGGAACGUUGAAGACGACGACGUUGAUAGGCCGGGUGUGUAAGCGCAGCGAUGCGUUGAGCUAACCGGUACUAAUGAACCGUGAGGCUUAACCUU